GGAGAGAUGGCUGAGUGGACUAAAGCGGUGGAUUGCUAAUCCGUUGUACAAUUUUUUUGUACCGAGGGUUCAAAUCCCUCUAUUUCCG
RNAcentral lists this transfer RNA (88 nucleotides) under Triticum aestivum (bread wheat). It matches the Rfam family "tRNA". Rfam says of the family: Transfer RNA (tRNA) molecules are approximately 80 nucleotides in length. Their secondary structure includes four short double-helical elements and three loops (D, anti-codon, and T loops). The record is from Rfam by way of RNAcentral. Lineage: Eukaryota; Viridiplantae; Streptophyta; Magnoliopsida; Poales; Poaceae.